UACACACCGCCCGUCACACCAUGGGAGUGGGUUGUACCAGAAGCAGGUAGUUUAACCGCAAGGGGGACGCUUGCCACGGUAUGAUUCAUGACUGGGGUG
This 99-nucleotide ribosomal RNA is filed under the name uncultured bacterium. RNAcentral's name for it is "partial 16S ribosomal RNA". It matches the Rfam family "Bacterial small subunit ribosomal RNA", at positions 1384 to 1482 of the family's 1533-position model. The record is from RNAcentral.